UACAGAGGGGGCAAGCGUUAUUCGGAAUUAUUGGGCGUAAAGGGCGCGUAGGCGGCCAUUCAAGUGACGGGUGAAAGCCCUCGGCUUAACCGAGGAACUGCCUGUCAGACUGGAUGGCUCGAGACCGGGAGAGGUGAGUGGAAUUCCCAGUGUAGCGGUGAAAUGCGUAGAUAUUGGGAGGAACACCAGUGGCGAAGGCGGCUCACUGGACCGGAACUGACGCUGAGGCGCGACAGCGUGGGGAGCAAACAGG
RNAcentral lists this ribosomal RNA (253 nucleotides) under uncultured bacterium. RNAcentral describes it as "partial 16S ribosomal RNA". It matches the Rfam family "Bacterial small subunit ribosomal RNA", at positions 524 to 776 of the family's 1533-position model. The record is from RNAcentral.